This 750-nucleotide ribosomal RNA is filed under the name Brevibacterium aureum. Its description in RNAcentral is "bacterial SSU rRNA". It matches the Rfam family "Bacterial small subunit ribosomal RNA", at positions 413 to 1174 of the family's 1533-position model. The record is from RNAcentral. Lineage: Bacteria; Bacillati; Actinomycetota; Actinomycetes; Micrococcales; Brevibacteriaceae.
GGCCUUCGGGUUGUAAACCGCUUUCAGCAGGGAAGAAGCGAAAGUGACGGUACCUGCAGAAGAAGUACCGGCUAACUACGUGCCAGCAGCCGCGGUAAUACGUAGGGUACGAGCGUUGUCCGGAAUUAUUGGGCGUAAAGAGCUCGUAGGUGGUUGGUCACGUCUGCUGUGGAAACGCAACGCUUAACGUUGCGCGUGCAGUGGGUACGGGCUGACUAGAGUGCAGUAGGGGAGUCUGGAAUUCCUGGUGUAGCGGUGAAAUGCGCAGAUAUCAGGAGGAACACCGGUGGCGAAGGCGGGACUCUGGGCUGUAACUGACACUGAGGAGCGAAAGCAUGGGGAGCGAACAGGAUUAGAUACCCUGGUAGUCCAUGCCGUAAACGUUGGGCACUAGGUGUGGGGGACAUUCCACGUUCUCCGCGCCGUAGCUAACGCAUUAAGUGCCCCGCCUGGGGAGUACGGUCGCAAGGCUAAAACUCAAAGGAAUUGACGGGGGCCCGCACAAGCGGCGGAGCAUGCGGAUUAAUUCGAUGCAACGCGAAGAACCUUACCAAGGCUUGACAUACACUGGACCGUUCUGGAAACAGUUCUUCUCUUUGGAGCUGGUGUACAGGUGGUGCAUGGUUGUCGUCAGCUCGUGUCGUGAGAUGUUGGGUUAAGUCCCGCAACGAGCGCAACCCUCGUUCUAUGUUGCCAGCACGUGAUGGUGGGAACUCAUAGGAGACUGCCGGGGUCAACUCGGAGGAAGGU